RNAcentral lists this ribosomal RNA (406 nucleotides) under uncultured bacterium. Its description in RNAcentral is "partial 16S ribosomal RNA". It matches the Rfam family "Bacterial small subunit ribosomal RNA", at positions 29 to 526 of the family's 1533-position model. The record is from RNAcentral.
AUUGAACGCUGGCGGCAGGCCUAACACAUGCAAGUCGAACGAGUGGCGGACGGGUGAGUAAUGUCUGGGAAACUGCCUGUUGGGGGGGGAUAACUACUGGAACCGGUGGCUAAUACCCCAUACCAUCAGAUGUACCCAGAUGGGAUUAGCUGGUGGGUGGGGUAACGGCUCACCCAGGCGACGAUCCCUAGCUGGUCGGAGAGGAGGACCAGCCACACUGGACUGGAAACACGCUCCAGACCCCUCUGGGAGGCGGCAGUGGGGAACAUUGGACAAGGGGGGCAAGCUGGAUGCGGCCAUGCCGCGUGUAGGAAGAAGGCUUCCGGGUUGUAAAGUACGUUCAGCGGGGAGGCGUUACCCGAAGAAGAAGCACCGGCUAACUCCGUGCCAGCAGCCGCGGUAAUAC